CUGGAAGGGCGGGGGAUCGCCUCGGGUGCUCAUCCGGGGAGGAAAGUCCGAACUCCACAGGGAGCGAUGCCACGCAACCCCGGUCGGACCGGGGAUACGCGCGGGAGGCCAGGCUGCGAAGCCUGCCGACGGAAAGUGCCACAGAGAAUAUACCGCCGAACUCAACCUGCGAGGGUUGGGUGGUAAGGGUGAAAAGGUGGGGUAAGAGCCCACCGCGCCGAGCGUAAGCGGAGCGGCACGGAAAACCCCAUCGGGAGCAAGGCCAAAUAGGGGACCUUUCGGGUGUCCCGCCUGAGUCCCGCUUGUCGGGACGGGUCCCGGGUAUGGCUGCUCAGAGAAAUGGUCCUCUCCCCGGCCCGUACGCGGGUCGGGAAGACAGAAUUCGGCUUACAGCCCUUCCAGAACC
Molecule: RNase P RNA, 406 nt
Filed under: Verrucomicrobiales bacterium
Lineage: Bacteria; Pseudomonadati; Verrucomicrobiota; Verrucomicrobiia; Verrucomicrobiales
Description: RNase P RNA component class A
Rfam family: Bacterial RNase P class A
About the family: Ribonuclease P (RNase P) is a ubiquitous endoribonuclease, found in archaea, bacteria and eukarya as well as chloroplasts and mitochondria.
Source: RNAcentral